This is a long non-coding RNA of Alexandromys fortis (reed vole), 3721 nucleotides long. RefSeq lists it as uncharacterized. The record is from RefSeq and is a predicted model, not a curated record. The transcript is spliced from 2 exons. NCBI's taxonomy places the organism in Eukaryota, Metazoa, Chordata, Mammalia, Rodentia, Cricetidae.
UUGUCCAAACAAAACCAGCACAGGCAGCCUGAGCCAUUAGCAGAGUCAUAGUUUACCCCCCUCCUAUUUCUCCUGGUAAGAAGCCAGGGGUGUACGUGUGUGUGCAUAUGUGCCUGCUCACCUGCCUGCCUGUCUCUCUGUCCUUAGCAUUGCCUUGGCUGCAAACAAGGACUGACUGACAAUGUCUGUUCAUUUUAAAAGGGCAGAUAACCACUCAACAAUUAAUAUAUAACAGAUGGAACACUCUGAGGCAAAGAUGUUAAGUAUACUUUACCCCAAUUGUCAGGACUUGACCACGUUCAUUAAACAUGCCCUAAGAAGAUGUUAAGAAUCUACUUCACAGAAAGCCAGAGACUCACCAGAAACUGAACUCUCAGGAACAGAAAGAGGAGGCUGUUCCUCAAGGAGUUUGCAGCCGUAGAAUGCAGCUAAACAACCGGUCAUGCCAAUUCCAUGCACUGCUUUUUUAAUUUUUAAAUUGUAUGUGUUUGAUGUUUAUGGGCAUUUAGGUGUGUGCACCACACGCAUGCAGUGCCUGCAAAGGCCAGAAGAGGGCAUACAAUACCCUGGAACUUGAGUUACCAGCAGCUGCCAGCCUCAGUACAAAUGCUGGCAACAAAACCCUGCCACCUGCAAGAACAGCAAGCACUCUUAACUGCUGAGCCGUCUCUCCAGACCGGCCAACCAAAUGUUUAAAAACUGGGUACUGUGAAUCCUGCAAUUUGCUAAAAAGACCUAGUGUCCAUCUUUACCACACUUUUCUAGCCCACUAUUCCCCAGGCUUGGAGAUGCUGACUUCCUAGGAAAACGACAGAAAAGCAAGUGCAUCCCCUUUCUGCUUCCAGGGGAGUGAAGACCCGGAGCAGAAACUGAAGCAGAGCGGCUUCCUGGUUGGCUCCCCGUAGUUUGUGCUACUUGCCUUCUUAAACAAUCCAGGACCACCAGGCCAGGGGUGGCACUGCCUGCAGUGGGGGCUGGGCCGUUCCACAUUCAUCAUUAAUCAAGAAAAUGCCCCACAGACUUGUCCAUAGGCCAGUCUGAUGAAGGUGUGUUCUCAAUUGAAGUUCCCUUUCCCAGAUAUCUCUAACUUGUGUCGAGUUUUGACAAAAAAACUAACCAGGACACCAUUUUAUUCCUACGAAUAAUUGAUUACAUAUAAUUCAUAUGGUUGAAAUGACGUGCACUAUGAGGAGGGAUGUGUGCCGUAGGAAAAGGGAAUAUAUAUCUUCAGUGAAGGUAGAGAGCCACCCUCACUGUGCUCCUUAGUAACCAAGUCCUCUUUUUAUUCAUCCCCAGCCUGGAACAAAAAUCAGGGAACUUGAGAACUCUUACUCAGGUGGCUUUUUAGUUGGUUGGUUGGUUUUUGUUUUGGUUUUUAAGACAGGUGUGGUGGUUUAAAAGAAAAUGGCCCCCAAAGGGAGUGGCAUUACUAGGAGGUGUGGCCUUCUUGAAGGAAGUGUGACACACUGGAGGCAGACUUUGAGGUCUCACAUAUGUUCAAGCCAUGCCCAGUAUCUCAGACCACUUCCUGUUCUCUGUGAAUCAAGAUGUAAGCACUCUCAGCUCGCUCUCCAGCACCAUGUCUGUCUGCACGCCAUCAGACUCCCAGCUGCCAUGCUUCCUGCCAUGACAGUAAGGGACUAGACCUCUGAACCGUAAGCUUCCACAAUUAAACAUUUUCCUUCAUAAGAGUUGCUUUAUAAGAGUUGCCGUGGGGACCGGAGUGGUGGUUCAGAGGUAAAGAACAUUGACUGCUCUUCCAGAAGUCCUGGAAGAACCACACGGUGGCCCACAGCUAUCUAUAAUGAGAUCUGGCACCCUCUUCUGGCAUGCAGGCAUAUAUGCAGGCAAAACUCUGUAUACAUAAUAAACAAAUCUUUAAACAAAGAGUUGUGGUGGUCAUGGAGUCACUUCACAGCAACAGAAACCCCAAGACGACAGAGAUUUUUUGUGUAGUCUUGGCUGUCCUGCAUCUUGCUCUGUUGACCAGGCUGACCUUGAACUCACAGACACACACACCUCCUGAGUGCUGGGAUUAAAGGUGUGUGCCACCACGCCCUGUUGGCUUCUGUCAUUCUUGAUAGCAUAUUCCUCUAGAAGCUAUACUGUUGUUGCUUUGCUUUUAAAUAGCAUCACCAGCUUCUCUGGAGAGUCUAUGUGGGCCCUGGAUUUGGCCAAGAACCCAGGACAGACCCAGCCCACAAGUGUGAGAAGCCACAUGAAGUGUGGCAUCACGACGGUAAGUACACGCAGUGUUGUGCAACCUUCCCCGCUAGUUCCCGAACCUUUCAUCUUUCCAAACUCUACACCCGUUAGACAAUAACUCAGCACACCUGCCUCCUGCCGCCCCAGAGCCUCCACUCUACUUUCUGUCUAUGAAUUUGGAGUCCAGCAAUUCGAACUGAAACCAUACACAGCUAGUCCCUCUGCCCUGCUCAUUUAAAUUAGCACCCUGUCUCAUUGUUCAUCCGUGCUAUAGCGUGCGCUAGACCCUCACUCCUUUCCAAGGUUGGGGCAUAUUCUACCAUCCGCAUAAACCACAUUUUACUUAAUCAUCUCAUCCUUCGACGGACAUCUGGGUCAUUUCCACUUCUUACUUGCUGCUGUGCACAGUCAAGGUUCAAAACUGCAAAACACAUUUCUUAUACUCAAGCCCCUGUUUUCCAAUCCUUCUGGUAAAGCAUCAGCGGGUGCCAGUCUUUAAGCCUGGGAUUUACGCCCAGCUCUUUAGAAUGUUGGGAAACUUACUUGCCUGGAUAGUGUGUAGUCAUUUUCUAGUUUUUCACUUACAAGUUGUUACUGUCCUUUGCUAAAUUCUCCCUGAAUGUCCCCCUACCCUCCAGGACCUUCCUCUCUGUUUCCUGGCACUUGUCACAGUUCCCCAGUGGAUCAGUUGAUGACUUUUGUUUGUUUGGUUGGUUGGUUGGCUGGAUUUUUUGUUGUUGUUGUUUAUUUUUUGCUUCAGUUCCCUGGGAGCUUGUGACAAAAGUAAAGGAGUUUGCCACCACAGCUGUGGUACAAGUUCAAAACAUGUUUUCUGAAUCGAUGAGGUAACAUAAUGUCAGUGCCCUUUGCCUCCGACAGAAACUAUCCAAAGACAGAAAGCGGCUGUCUGGGAGACCCCACUCUAGGAAUCAGGGACUAGUUAGGACUCUUGGCUGCCUGAAGCAGAGGAGGACUGCAAAAAGCACAAGGUGAUGAGGGGCACACGAGACAAGGUCCACGCCAGGAGGAGGAGCUUACCAGUCAGUCCUCAGUCACUCAGCGACCUUUUGUAAAGGCCGCCCCCAAAUCAGCCAUGGGACAAGGAGGGUUUUGAGACAUAAAUAAAUAAAUAAAUAAAUAAAUAAAUAAAUAAAUAAAUAAAUAAAUAAAUCUCUAUUUCUUUUCGCUGAGUCAGUCUAUCAGCGUGCGCACUGGACCAGCCAGGUGGGAGGCUCACCGCUGGUGUUAGCUUUCCAGAGCUGAGCCAGAGGUUACAACACCUGUCAGUCUGUGUGCCCAGAGCUGGUGGGAGGGAAAUCAGAUCCAAAGAGAGCAGAGGUGCCCUUCCCGAAGUCUGGGAGUCCUCACGGGCUUUUAGUCGCUGUUUACAAAAUCCCAGUAACUAAAGACAGCACAAAUCUCAGGUUCAGCCCCGCACGCAGAGACUUUCUAACCUAAUGAGAGUCUGGGGAAAAUAACACUUGCCGAUUUUUUUUUUUUUUUUUUUUUUUUUUUU